UGCCAGCAGCCGCGGUAAUACGGAGGGUGCAAGCGUUGCUCGGAAUCACUGGGCGUAAAGGGUACGCAGGCGGCUUGUUAAGUCGGGUGUGAAAGCCCAGGGCUCAACCCUGGAACUGCGCCCGAUACUGGCAAGCUUGAGUACGGGAGAGGGAAGCGGAAUUCCUGGUGUAGAGGUGAAAUUCGUAGAUAUCAGGAGGAACACCAGUGGCGAAAGCGGCUUCCUGGCCCGAUACUGACGCUCAUGUACGAAAGCGUGGGGAGCAAACAGGAUUAGAUA
This 279-nucleotide ribosomal RNA is filed under the name uncultured bacterium. RNAcentral's name for it is "partial 16S ribosomal RNA". It matches the Rfam family "Bacterial small subunit ribosomal RNA", at positions 506 to 784 of the family's 1533-position model. The record is from RNAcentral.